GGCUGAAACUCGCCUCGCAUGAAGCUGGAAUUGCUAGUAAUCAUAGGUCAGCAUACUAUGGUGAAUACGUUCCCGGGCCUUGUACACACCGCCCGUCACACCAUGAGAGUUGAGAAUACCCGAAGUCCAUGUCAAAGUGGCCGAAGGUAGGCUUGAUGAUUGGGGUGAAGUCGUAACAAGGUAGC
This 185-nucleotide ribosomal RNA is filed under the name uncultured bacterium. RNAcentral describes it as "partial 16S ribosomal RNA". It matches the Rfam family "Bacterial small subunit ribosomal RNA", at positions 1303 to 1500 of the family's 1533-position model. The record is from RNAcentral.